AUUGAACGCUGGCGGCAGGCCUAACACAUGCAGGUCGAGCGGAUGAAGGGAGCUUGCUCCUGGAUUCAGCGGCGGACGGGUGAGUAAUGCCUAGGAAUCUGCCUGGUAGUGGGGGAUAACGUCCGGAAACGGGCGCUAAUACCGCAUACGUCCUGAGGGAGAAAGUGGGGGAUCUUCGGACCUCACGCUAUCAGAUGAGCCUAGGUCGGACUAGCUAGUUGGUGGGGUAAAGGCCUACCAAGGCGACGAUCCGUAACUGGUCUGAGAGGAUGAUCAGUCACACUGGAACUGAGACACGGUCCAGACUCCUACGGGAGGCAGCAGUGGGGAAUAUUGGACAAUGGGCGAAAGCCUGAUCCAGCCAUGCCGCGUGUGUGAAGAAGGUCUUCGGAUUGUAAAGCACUUUAAGUUGGGAGGAAGGGCAGUAAGUUAAUACCUUGCUGUUUUGACGUUACCAACAGAAUAAGCACCGGCUAACUUCGUG
RNAcentral lists this ribosomal RNA (484 nucleotides) under uncultured bacterium. RNAcentral describes it as "partial 16S ribosomal RNA". It matches the Rfam family "Bacterial small subunit ribosomal RNA", at positions 30 to 507 of the family's 1533-position model. The record is from RNAcentral.